Molecule: small RNA, 667 nt
Filed under: Pan troglodytes (chimpanzee)
Lineage: Eukaryota; Metazoa; Chordata; Mammalia; Primates; Hominidae
Description: processed transcript
Source: RNAcentral
CCUGUCUUUAAGGCUGACCUUUCGUCCUUUGACCUCCUCAGCCUCCAUUCCCAUCUUCGCUCAGACUGCAAGUAUGUUUGUAUUAAUGUACUAUGUAGGCGGCUUGGAGCUGGGGAACAUUCUUUCAUUCUAAGAAUUUGCAGAUGCUGACGUUCCUCCUUUCUGCCCCUACAGGCUCUGGCUUAUCCAAGAGGCAAACACUGACCUCUGGUAAUUAAAAUUCUAGUUCUUUUCUUUUGUCUUUCCCAGGAAUUUGACAAGAAGUACAAUCCCACCUGGCAUUGCAUCGUGGGGAGGAACUUCGGUAGUUAUGUGACACAUGAAACCAAACACUUCAUCUACUUCUACCUGGGCCAAGUGGCCAUUCUUCUGUUCAAAUCUGGUUAAAAGCAUGGACUGUGCCACACACCCAGUGAUCCAUCCAAAAACAAGGACUGCAGCCUAAAUUCCAAAUACCAGAGACUGAAAUUUUCAGCCUUGCUAAGGGAACAUCUCGAUGUUUGAACCUUUGUUGUGUUUUGUACAGGGCAUUCUCUGUACUAGUUUGUCGUGGUUAUAAAACAAUUAGCAGAAUAGCCUACAUUUGUAUUUAUUUUCUAUUCCAUACUUCUGCCCACGUUUUCUCUCAAAAUCCAUUCCUUUAAAAAAUAAAUCUGUUGCAGAUGUG